This 1185-nucleotide long non-coding RNA is filed under the name Homo sapiens (human). RNAcentral's name for it is "HSALNT0190194". The record is from RNAcentral. Lineage: Eukaryota; Metazoa; Chordata; Mammalia; Primates; Hominidae.
CAAGUCCCCGCGCGGCGGAGUAGCAAGGCGGGCGGGUAGAGGCCGACGCGCGCCCAUUGGCCGACUCGGCUGCGGGCGUCCCCGUGGCCACGUGACAAUAACACCGCUCCAGCCGGGGGCCUACGCGCGGGAGAAAGUGGAGCUGAGAUUGUAGGAAAUUCAGAGUUAUAUUUUCCAGCCUCUCCAGCCAGAAGUCUCCACUACGUCGUGGGAAACAUAUAUCAAAUGGAGUUGAAAGGCAAAAGGAAGUGAUCAGCGCCACAAGAUGUUGAAACUAAUGGAGACCGCAGAGAUCAUGUGCUAAGGGGCCUUCCUCCUCUGGGGUGGGAGAAGGAAUGUUCUCUGGAGAAAUCUGUAUGAUAGAAUAGUGAAGGUAACUGGCCUGAACUACAGCUCUUGAGCCAUCUGGUUUCACCUUCAGGGAGCUUCAGGAGAGAUUUGAUGAAAAAAAUUAUAUUUUGGCAUCAUCUUGACUCUUGAACUUACUCCCAGAUCAGCUACAAAUUUGUCCUAUGGCCUGAGGCACUGAAAACACGACAGAGCUCUGCAAUAAUUUCCAGUCAGACCAGACAACCUAGUUAUUCCCUUUUCCCAGGUGUCCCGGUGACCUAUAUUAUUGUCAACAACAAGGCAUUACUUCAGCUUCAAGUCUUGCAAAAUCUACUGGAUUGGAAGACCAGAUAUUCAUUUCACCAUUUAGCUGAAAAUGCACAGUACAUUUUAGAAUGAUGGGGUUUGUUUAGCUCAUCUAUCCGUCCAUCCUUACUUUUAUUCUAUUGGGUUCUUAAUUCAAAAGAAAGACUGCCACCUACUGGAUGUGUGAUACGAAGAAGAUAUUAGCAUUAAAAUAUACUCUCUCAUUAAAGGUUGAUUCAAAAUAAUUGCAGAAGAAAAUAUUCAAAAGAAUGUCCAAUUUUUACAGAUAAGUAUUGAACAUAUUUCCUUAAAUGAUUUUAUUAUCAGCAAAUACUGAAUAAAAAUUAUUUAACAAUGUCCAUCUAAUUAUUUAGAAAUAAAAUUCCUUCUUCCUGUUCUUAUUUUAAUACAUUAAAAAUUAAUUUACCUUUUUUCCAGUAAUAGGGAAUAAUUAAGUAUUCUCUUAUGUUGUCUGUAUAAAAAUAGAAUAAUGAUCUUGACAAUUUAAUACUAUUUUGUGAUACAAAAACUCAGGUUAUAGAAAUACUA